Molecule: long non-coding RNA, 2990 nt
Filed under: Sus scrofa (pig)
Lineage: Eukaryota; Metazoa; Chordata; Mammalia; Artiodactyla; Suidae
Description: lncRNA (ENSSSCG00035018618.1)
Source: RNAcentral
GUAGCUGCUUCCUGUUCUGUGGGAUUAAUAUAUGAAAAUAUUCAGAUAUCAUAUUUUGGGAAUAAUCAUAAGUGUAGAUCUAAGGGAGUCAUAGAAAAUGUGUGUGGAUCAGAGGAUAUCGAUAUUUAGUCUAAAACGUACUAAUUUAGGUGAGUCCACCUUGCAGUGGAGACUGUGCUAAAGAGCUGUGGUACCAGGCCUCCUUACUGCCCAUAUUACUGCAGAGGAUAGAGUGGAGGUAUAGAUGGUAAAGAGCCUUCAAAUACAAAACAACCAAUUUACUGAUUUUCUUUUGAUUUAUGUUGUCAACUUGUGAUAGUUCUAGAAGCCUAUGAGAACUAUAAGACAUGGGACUUAGUUUAUUUUUAAAGAUUCAGCAGCAGAUUAUUAUAGUGUAGUUUAUUUUCAUACUCUACAUUCUUUUUUUUUUUUGGCUUUCUCUAGGGCUGCACUUGCAGCAUAUGGAGCUUCCCAGGUUAGGGAUCUAAUCGGAGCUGUAUCCGCCGGUCUUCAUCACAGCCACAGCAACACGAGCUCAUCGUUCCUGGUUGGAUUCAUUAACCACUGAGCCAUGACGGGAACUCCCAUACUCUACAUUCUAAAGACUCAGGUAAACCCUGAAGUAAAAAUUUGUUUGUUUCCUUUGUAGUCAAUCUAUCAAAAAGACACAAAGUACAAAAAAAACUUCCAAGAGUCUGACCAAUAUCCUCAACACUAAUAAUUAAGUAGAUUACUCUAACAAAGUAUUCUUUUGUUUAUAAGAAUCUUUUACAUAUAUUUUCUCCUUUAAUCAUCAAAGAAGACACAAAUAAUAGAUAUUUUAAUAUCAUUUUCAAAUGAAAAUCCUGAGGAUCAUUGCUCUGAAGCUUUCUGAUUUCCUGUCCAGAUGAUUUCCACUGUGCUACAAACUGUAACCCAAACAUACAAAACACUAUGCCAGUGCUUCCCAAUUUCUAGUCUCUAGAGAAGAACAGAACCUCUGGAGAAGGUGCCAUAGGUGUGCAGGAAAAUGAGAAAUAUAUGUUUAUUUGUAAAUUUCCCAUAAUGCUCCUUUCAUAAAGAUAUAUAGAGUUAUCAUCAUGGCUCAGUUGUUAAUGAACCCAACUAAUAUCCAUGAGGACGUGGGUUCAAUCCCUCACCUUGUUCAGUGGGUUAAGAAUCCAGCAUUGACACGAGCUGCAGUGUAGGUCACAGACAUGGCUCAGAUCCUGCUUUGCUCUGGCUGUGGUGUAGGCCAGCGGCUACAGCUCCUAUUCAAUCCCUGGCCUGGGAACAGCCCUAAAAAAACAAAACAAAACAAAAUUGUAUAUGAUUCCGAGAUUGUUUUUCCUAUUUCUUUGGUGUUAAGGUGCCCUCUUUUAUAAAAUGAUAUUGUAGAGUUGACAUUUAAGAGUUCUUACUUAACAAUAGUCAUGAGUAUGGAGACUGCAUAUCAGCUACUGUUUGUUUUUAACUGACCAGUUAUAGUAGAAAAUGACAGAUCAACUGUAACAGAGAAAUGUGGUAUUGGUAAAAUUGGCACCUGGUACUUCCAGACCACUUUUAGACAGUAGGCUUAUUGUUAAGGGAAGAUUUUGGCCCUUUUCCUGAGCAGCUGUAAUCUAAUCAGUAUCUGGGAAAGAUCCUAGAUUCAGAACAAGAGGUCAAAGUUCCACAUGAAAUAGAAAGCAGAAAUAAGAGUCAGGUUGCUGGAAUAAGAAACAAGAAAAUCAAGAUUCCUUGGAAGGGAGAAAUUUUGUGGGCAGCAGGUUAAGGAUCCAACAGUGUGACUUCAGGGGUUAGUGGCUUGGGUUGAUGAUGCAGUUCCAUUGCUGGCCCAGGAAUUUCCGCAUGCAAGGAGCACAGAAAAAAAAUUAAAAAUGAAAAAAUCCUAUAGGAAUUCUAGAUUGUCCCCUUUAAUUAAUGAAACUAUGAUGGAUAUCUCCAUUGAGAUGAAGGCUGUAUAUUACAGGCACGGAGAAUGAGAAAAUAAGACUUAGUCCAGACUACAAAGACUAGAAACCUAUAUUUGAGGAAGUCCCACAUUAACUCAUUCUUCUCAAUGUACUGUCAUUGUACACAUAGCUGUUGCUGUUAUCACCAAUCAAAACAGAACCCCUCCAAAGACUCCUUCCCUUCAUUUCUUAACUUACAUUUACAAAGAACAUAGGUUGGAUCAAGAUAUACAGCUCCAAAAAUGGAAUGUUUGUGUGUUCCCUGCGGUUUGGUGGUGCAGGGAGGGAGGGGAGUGGAGGAAGGGAGAGGAUGAGAUUAUAAAUAGAAUGUUCUGAUUUUAGUAUUUUCUCCUAUGAAUUUCUCUUCAGUUUUUUAAUGUGUGCUAGCAUUUGUACCAGCAGCUACCAAAAAUGCUUGAGAAAGAAAUAAUCUCCAGGAUUAAAAUAAAUAAGCUUGGAUUUCCCAUUGUGGUUCACAGGUAAUGAACCUGACUAGUAUCCAUGAGGACGUGGGUUCAAUCCCUGGCCUCAUACAGUGGGUUAAAGGAUCCAGCAUUGCCAUGAGCUGUGGUGUAGGUCGCAGACAUGGAUCACAUCUGGGGUUGCUGCAGCUGUGAUGUUGGCCAGAGGCUACGCCUCCAAUUAGACCCCAGCCUUGGAACUUUUAUAUGCCAAGAGUGCAGCCCUUAAAAAAAAGGACCAAAAAUAAAAUAAAUAAGCUGUAUAAGAUGAUUCCUAAGUUUUUGGUUUGGGCAGGGGCUAUAUUUGCAUGUGACUUAAUAUAUUUACAUAUAGUCUAUUUUCCACAAUCCAUUUGUAGAUGAGUUUAAGGUGUGCUGUGAAGAGAGUACAUGAUGACUGUGGAAUGCUGUAGAAUACUGCACUUCACAGCAAAGUUGACAGUAGGGCUGAUGACUGUCUUAUUAUUAUGUAUUUAUCUCCUCUCAUGUGUGGAGUUAAAACUCUUAGUACUUUUGUUAAAAUGAACUCCCCAAAUAGUGCAUUUUGAAUAGCAUUUCUGGAGCUUCUUAAACUUUAAAAGAAAAAAAAAAAAAA